CGAACAGCAAUCCAUACAGAUGCCCUCUAUUUGCAGAGCACGAAGAGCCAGGACAGCCGCCGCCUUCCCGCCAGGCACUGCGCGGGUGCUUCAUAUCUGCCCUGGGAGGCCCACUUCUCACGAUGAGAGGAUAAUUCACUCACUAUAGCCCAUUCAAUCUUCAGCCUCU
RNAcentral lists this small RNA (169 nucleotides) under Nannospalax galili (Upper Galilee mountains blind mole rat). Its description in RNAcentral is "TUC338 (ENSNGAG00000004223.1)". The record is from RNAcentral. Lineage: Eukaryota; Metazoa; Chordata; Mammalia; Rodentia; Spalacidae.